UUUUGACUCUACUGAGUUACUAGCAGGAGUGACCUCUGCUUGCACAACUCAGUAACUAUUAGACGCAAAAAUAGACAAAAAGACAGGAGUACAUGGAUCGACACCGAGUAGCAUCUCUAUACGAGGGUCAGCGACGAGACGUACUGGUAAUGAGCCUGCUCGCCGCGUUUGGGAUAAGAAAUACAGAUCGCUAGAGGAGAGCGCCGCUAUUCAAGAAGAUACUGGAAUAAUGCUUGCGAUGACCGACGCCUGUCCCGCCCCUGAAAUCGAGUACCUUGCACUGCUGCCCUUGUCAGAAGGAGUCUUUACGACCAUUAACUUGAUUUAGGGUAACACUUCCUAGAUUACCAAAAGAGACGAAAUCCUUGUUCUUCAUCCAGUUAUCCUUGAAGGACAUGACUCUUACUUAUAUCCACCUGUUUUCUUUGCCCCCGCCGCGUAUGCCGGCUAUGGCUUCAUCGGUCCCUCUUUAGUUCCCUGGGUAAUCUUCAAACUCCGUGAUUGCUCGGAUGACUGCCAGGGAGCAAUCGGGGGGAGUUCCCACCACCUCGAACAACCUUGCUCACCCACCUUCAUAUGUGUUGCUGAGAACCAUCAGCUGUAGAAAGCAAGAAAAUAUGAGUGAAGUCACAAACGUCACUAAGGAAAGGAAGAACAGAAAAAACCUCGAAUAUUCCAGAUGGGCAGCGUAGUUCAGCCACACAUCAAGCACUCCAAACGGUGGUAAGGGCAUGGAGGCACAUGCCUGUAGCCCUUCACACAGGCCGGACAUGCAGGAGGCGGUUUUUUUCAUUUUUUUCCCCGCUACCCACUGCCCCUGGGGGGCGGGAUUUUCUCCUCCUUCCUCAAGGGGGGGGUGUUUUGGCGUUUUUAUACUUUUACACCACAGGGCCUUUCCCCUCUUUUUCUCACUCCUCCAGCCCCAGUGCGCUUUCCCCGGUC
RNAcentral lists this long non-coding RNA (942 nucleotides) under Mus musculus (house mouse). RNAcentral's name for it is "H8". The record is from RNAcentral. Lineage: Eukaryota; Metazoa; Chordata; Mammalia; Rodentia; Muridae.